Molecule: non-coding RNA, 21 nt
Organism: Caenorhabditis elegans
Lineage: Eukaryota; Metazoa; Nematoda; Chromadorea; Rhabditida; Rhabditidae
Source: Ensembl
UUUCAGAACUUUUUCAUGAGA